Molecule: ribosomal RNA, 211 nt
Filed under: uncultured bacterium
Lineage: Bacteria
Description: partial 16S ribosomal RNA
Rfam family: Bacterial small subunit ribosomal RNA
Source: RNAcentral
UCGGAUUGUAGGCUGAAACUCGCCUACAUGAAGCUGGAGUUGCUAGUAAUCGCGAAUCAGCAUGUCGCGGUGAAUACGUUCCCGGGCCUUGUACACACCGCCCGUCACACCAUGAGAGUUGGCAAUACCCAACGUUACGUGAUCUAACCCGCAAGGGAGGAAGCGUCCUAAGGUAGGGUCAGCGAUUGGGGUGAAGUCGUAACAAGGUAUC